This 253-nucleotide ribosomal RNA is filed under the name uncultured bacterium. RNAcentral's name for it is "partial 16S ribosomal RNA". It matches the Rfam family "Bacterial small subunit ribosomal RNA", at positions 524 to 776 of the family's 1533-position model. The record is from RNAcentral.
UACAGAGGGGGCAAGCGUUGUUCGGAAUUACUGGGCGUAAAGGGCGCGUAGGCGGCCUUCUAAGUCGAACGUGAAAUCCCCGGGCUCAACUCGGGAACUGCGUCCGAGACUGGAAGGCUUGAAUCCGGGAGAGGGAUGUGGAAUUCCAGGUGUAGCGGUGAAAUGCGUAGAUAUCUGGAGGAACAUCGGUGGCGAAGGCGGCAUCCUGGACCGGUAUUGACGCUGAGGCGCGAAAGCCAGGGGAGCAAACGGG